This 468-nucleotide ribosomal RNA is filed under the name uncultured bacterium. Its description in RNAcentral is "partial 16S ribosomal RNA". It matches the Rfam family "Bacterial small subunit ribosomal RNA", at positions 28 to 507 of the family's 1533-position model. The record is from RNAcentral.
GACGAACGCUGGCGGCGUGCUUAACACAUGCAAGUCGAACGGAAAGGCCCUGCUUUUGUGGGGUGCUCGAGUGGCGAACGGGUGAGUAACACGCGAGUAACCUGUCCUUGACUUUGGGAUAACUUCAGGAAACUGGGGCUAUUAUCGGAUAGGAGCUCCUGCUGCAUGGUGGGGGUUGGAAAGUUUCGGCGGUUGUGGAUGGACUCGCGGCUUAUCAGCUUGUUUGUGGGGUAGUGGCUUACCAAGGCUUUGACGGGUAGCCGGCCUGGGAGGGUGACCGGCCACAUUGGGACUGAGAUACGGCCCAGACUCCUACGGGAGGCAGCAGUGGGGAAUAUUGCACAAUGGGCGGAAGCCUGAUGCAGCAACGCCGCGUGCGGGAUGACGGCCUUCGGGUUGUAAACCGCUUUCGCCUGUGACGAAGCGUGAGUGACGGUAAUGGGUAAAGAAGCACCGGCUAACUACGUG